This is a non-coding RNA of Gossypium raimondii (Peruvian cotton), 145 nucleotides long. NCBI's taxonomy places the organism in Eukaryota, Viridiplantae, Streptophyta, Magnoliopsida, Malvales, Malvaceae. The record is from Rfam.
UGUUAAAAUUUUGAUCCAUUUGUCUUGUUAAAAGUUAGUGUGGCUGACGGAAUAACUGUAUAGUGACAUGUGGCGUGUCACGUGUACCUUAUAGUAACAUAAAGGGACCAGUUUUUAACAAUAGAAAUGAAUAAAAUUUUUAAUA